AGAGCGAACGCUGGCGGCAGGCUUAACACAUGCAAGUCGAGCGGGCGUAGCAAUACGUCAGCGGCAGACGGGUGAGUAACGCGUGGGAACGUACCUUUUGGUUCGGAACAACCCAGGGAAACUUGGGCUAAUACCGGAUAAGCCCUUACGGGGAAAGAUUUAUCGCCGAAAGAUCGGCCCGCGUCUGAUUAGCUAGUUGGUGAGGUAAUGGCUCACCAAGGCGACGAUCAGUAGCUGGUCUGAGAGGAUGAUCAGCCACAUUGGGACUGAGACACGGCCCAAACUCCUACGGGAGGCAGCAGUGGGGAAUAUUGGACAAUGGGCGCAAGCCUGAUCCAGCCAUGCCGCGUGAGUGAUGAAGGCCCUAGGGUUGUAAAGCUUCUUUUGUGCGGGAAGAUAAUGACGGUACCGCAAGAAUAACGCCCCGGACUAACUUCGUGCCAGCAGCCGC
This 451-nucleotide ribosomal RNA is filed under the name uncultured bacterium. RNAcentral describes it as "SSU rRNA". It matches the Rfam family "Bacterial small subunit ribosomal RNA", at positions 26 to 518 of the family's 1533-position model. The record is from RNAcentral.